This 1211-nucleotide ribosomal RNA is filed under the name uncultured Gammaproteobacteria bacterium. RNAcentral describes it as "bacterial SSU rRNA". It matches the Rfam family "Bacterial small subunit ribosomal RNA", at positions 51 to 1245 of the family's 1533-position model. Lineage: Bacteria; Pseudomonadati; Pseudomonadota; Gammaproteobacteria. The record is from RNAcentral.
ACACAUGCAAGUCGAGCGGUAACAUUUCUAGCUUGCUAGAAGAUGACGAGCGGCGGACGGGUGAGUAAUGCUUGGGAAUAUGCCUUAUGGUGGGGGACAACAGUUGGAAACGACUGCUAAUACCGCAUAACGUCUACGGACCAAAGGGGGGGAUCUUCGGACCUCUCGCCAUUUGAUUAGCCCAAGUGAGAUUAGCUAGUUGGUGAGGUAAAGGCUCACCAAGGCGACGAUCUCUAGCUGGUUUGAGAGGAUGAUCAGCCACACUGGGACUGAGACACGGCCCAGACUCCUACGGGAGGCAGCAGUGGGGAAUAUUGCACAAUGGGCGAAAGCCUGAUGCAGCCAUGCCGCGUGUGUGAAGAAGGCCUUCGGGUUGUAAAGCACUUUCAGUUGUGAGGAAAGGGGUGUAGUUAAUAACUGCAUUCUGUGACGUUAACAACAGAAGAAGCACCGGCUAACUUCGUGCCAGCAGCCGCGGUAAUACGAGGGGUGCAAGCGUUAAUCGGAAUUACUGGGCGUAAAGCGUACGUAGGCGGUUUGUUAAGCAAGAUGUGAAAGCCCAGGGCUCAACCUUGGAACUGCAUUUUGAACUGGCAAACUAGAGUACUGUAGAGGGUGGUGGAAUUUCCAGUGUAGCGGUGAAAUGCGUAGAGAUUGGAAGGAACAUCAGUGGCGAAGGCGGCCACCUGGACAGAUACUGACGCUGAGGUACGAAAGCGUGGGGAGCAAACAGGAUUAGAUACCCUGGUAGUCCACGCCGUAAACGAUGUCAACUAGCCGUUUGUGUCCUUGAGACGUGAGUGGCGCAGCUAACGCACUAAGUUGACCGCCUGGGGAGUACGGCCGCAAGGUUAAAACUCAAAUGAAUUGACGGGGGCCCGCACAAGCGGUGGAGCAUGUGUUUAUUCGAUGCAACGCGAAGAACCUUACCAUCCCUUGACAUCCAGAGAGCGACUAGAGAUAGACGUGUGCCUUCGGGACUCUGUGACAGGUGCUGCAUGGCUGUCGUCAGCUCGUGUUGUGAAUGUUGGGUUAAGUCCCGCAACGAAGCGCAACCCCUAUUCUUUAUUUUGCCAGCGCGUAAUGGGCGGAACUCUCUAUGAGAAACGUGCGCGGUGUAUAAACAGAAGAAAAGUGGCCACGCUCCAAGUCACUCUCUGGCCCCUCUGAGAGAGGGGGGUGUACACACAGUGCUGUGUCUACUAGUAACG